UUCCAUGGGUUACAUUUACUGUGCUG
Molecule: non-coding RNA, 26 nt
Filed under: Homo sapiens (human)
Lineage: Eukaryota; Metazoa; Chordata; Mammalia; Primates; Hominidae
Source: RNAcentral